AGAUUGAACGCUGACGGCAGGCCUAACACAUGCAAGUCGAGCGGUAGAGAGGUGCUUGCACCUCUUGAGAGCGGCGGACGGGUGAGUAAUGCCUAGGAAUCUGCCUAGUGGUGGGGGAUAACGUUCGGAAACGGACGCUAAUACCGCAUACGUCCUACGGGAGAAAGCGGGGGACCUUCGGGCCUCGCGCCAUUAGAUGAGCCUAGGUCGGAUUAGCUAGUUGGUGAGGUAAUGGCUCACCAAGGCGACGAUCCGUAACUGGUCUGAGAGGAUGAUCAGUCACACUGGAACUGAGACACGGUCCAGACUCCUACGGGAGGCAGCAGUGGGAAUAUGGACAAUGGGCGAAAGCCUGAUCCAGCCAUGCCGCGUGUGUGAAGAAGGUCUUCGGAUUGAAAGCUAAUUUAAGUUGGGAAGGAAGGUUUAGUAAACUUAAUACGUUAGACUAACUUUUGAACGUUACCGACAAGAAUAAGCACCGGACUAACUUCGU
RNAcentral lists this ribosomal RNA (493 nucleotides) under uncultured soil bacterium. Its description in RNAcentral is "bacterial SSU rRNA". It matches the Rfam family "Bacterial small subunit ribosomal RNA", at positions 26 to 506 of the family's 1533-position model. The record is from RNAcentral.